This 75-nucleotide transfer RNA is filed under the name Deltaproteobacteria bacterium. RNAcentral's name for it is "tRNA-Pro". It matches the Rfam family "tRNA". From Rfam's summary of the family: Transfer RNA (tRNA) molecules are approximately 80 nucleotides in length. Their secondary structure includes four short double-helical elements and three loops (D, anti-codon, and T loops). Lineage: Bacteria; Pseudomonadati; Myxococcota; Myxococcia. The record is from RNAcentral.
ACGGCUGUGGCGCAGUCUGGUCAGCGCGCCGCUCUGGGAGAGCGGAGGUCGCAGGUUCGAGUCCUGCCAGCCGUA